This 296-nucleotide long non-coding RNA is filed under the name Struthio camelus australis. Its description in RNAcentral is "lncRNA (ENSSCUG00000003781.1)". Lineage: Eukaryota; Metazoa; Chordata; Aves; Struthioniformes; Struthionidae. The record is from RNAcentral.
CUUUGGAGAAGAAAAUGCCUGCUCUUCAGCUGGAGCGCACAGGUGCUCCCAGCCAGAUCUUGGACUCUGAACCUGGAGCAAUUUUUGACUAUAUGCUUCUCUAAACUUAGAAAAUAUCUGCAAUAAAUAGGUCCCAAGACGUUUAACAGAAACUGGAGAAGGACCGUUAUCUCCAUUUUAUGAACAGAGUCAGGUACUUGCUGAGAUCACUUCAUAAAUGACAAUCCUGCUAAUGUGUGUCCAUUAGAGGAUACUGUGUCUAAUGGUGCUUUCAAGGUGUUUGCAGAUGAUCCCCG